GUUUGAGCAAUGGAGGGACGCAGAAGGAUAGAAGAAGCGUGCGAUUGGUUGUGCACGUCCAAGCAGUUAGGCUGAUAAGUAGGCAAAUCCGCUUAUCGUGAAGGCUGAGCUGUGAUGGGGAAGCUCCUUAUGGAGCGAAGUCUUUGAUUCCCCGCUGCCAAGAAAAGCUUCUAGCGAGAUAAAAGGUGCCUGUACCGCAAACCGACACAGGUAGGCGAGGAGAGAAUCCUAAGGUGUGCGAGAGAACUCUGGUUAAGGAACUCGGCAAAAUGACCCCGUAACUUCGGGAGAAGGGGUGCUUUCUUAACGGAAAGCCGCAGUGAAUAGGCCCAAGCGACUGUUUAGCAAAAACACAGCUCUCUGCGAAGCCGUAAGGCGAAGUAUAGGGGGUGACACCU
Molecule: ribosomal RNA, 398 nt
Filed under: Xanthomonas oryzae pv. oryzae
Lineage: Bacteria; Pseudomonadati; Pseudomonadota; Gammaproteobacteria; Lysobacterales; Lysobacteraceae
Description: bacterial LSU rRNA
Rfam family: Bacterial large subunit ribosomal RNA
Source: RNAcentral